UCAAUGCUCGCAAGAGUGAACUAGCUAACUGAAAUCACUUGUGUGUCACUCGUGAUGUCGUAAGGGAAAAUAAUGAUACCACCUUACUAAUAGUGUCGUCUAAAACUGGUGCCAGAAGACUCGGUAAGGCCAGAGACGCAAACGUUAAUCAUCUUAAAAAGGCGUAAAGGGUUAGUAGGCAGCUCUGAAAACAGUUUAUUUUUAAUAUAGCGAAAAUAAUGUGAAUAGGAGAUUGAAUCUAAUAGAGGUUAUAAUAUGAGCAAUUCUUAGAGGAGGGAUGGAAUCUCUAGAACCUAGGAGGAGGGCUCAGUGCGAAAGCAACUUUCCGCUAAAGAUUGACGCUGAGGAACGAAGGUUGGGAUCGGAAAUAGGAUUAGAUACCCCGGUACUCCCUUCAGCGAACGAUGAAUGGUAGUCGUUAAUUUAUUAAAAAUUAGUGGCGAAGUUAACAUGAUAACCAUUCCGCCUUGUGAGUACGACUGCAAAGUUGAAAACAAAAAAAUNAGUCGG
RNAcentral lists this ribosomal RNA (510 nucleotides) under Tyromyces chioneus. Its description in RNAcentral is "partial small subunit ribosomal RNA". It matches the Rfam family "Bacterial small subunit ribosomal RNA", at positions 368 to 916 of the family's 1533-position model. The record is from RNAcentral. Lineage: Eukaryota; Fungi; Basidiomycota; Agaricomycetes; Polyporales; Incrustoporiaceae.